This 609-nucleotide ribosomal RNA is filed under the name uncultured bacterium. RNAcentral describes it as "bacterial SSU rRNA". The stretch from base 1 to 520 matches the Rfam family "Bacterial small subunit ribosomal RNA", at positions 338 to 873 of the family's 1533-position model. The record is from RNAcentral.
CCUACGGGAGGCAGCAGUGAGGAAUUUUCCGCAAUGGGCGAAAGCCUGACGGAGCAAUACCGCGUGAGGGAUGAAGGAUUUUGGUCUGUAAACCUCUUUUCUCAAGAAAGAAGUUCUGACGGUACUUGAGGAAUAAGCAUCGGCUAACUCCGUGCCAGCAGCCGCGGUAAUACGGGGGAUGCAAGCGUUAUCCGGAAUGAUUGGGCGUAAAGCGCCUGUAGGUUGUUUAUUAAGUCCGUUGUUAAAGCCUAGGGCUUAACCCUAGAAAAGCAAUGGAAACUAGUAGACUAGAGUAUGGCAGGGGUAGAGGGAAUUUCUAGUGUAGCGGUGAAAUGCGUAGAUAUUAGAAAGAACACCGGUGGCGAAAGCGCUCUACUGGACCAUUACUGACACUCAGAGGCGAAAGCUAGGGUAGCAAAAGGGAUUAGAUACCCCUGUAGUCCUAGCCGUAAACGAUGGAUACUAGAUGUUGUGCAUAUAGUACUAGUAUACGCAGACUACGUACGUUAAGUAUACCGUCCGUCGGGUAGGUACGUCGUCGCGACGGUAGGUAACGUAACGAAGUAAGUAGACGCGNGAGACGCGACGACGACGACGACGGAGGAGGAG